UACGUAGGGUGCAAGCGUUGUCCGGAAUUAUUGGGCGUAAAGCGCUCGUAGGCGGUCUGUCGCGUCUGCUGUGAAAACUCAGGGCUUAACCCUGAGCUUGCAGUGGGUACGGGCAGACUAGAGUGCGGUAGGGGAGACUGGAAUUCCUGGUGUAGCGGUGAAAUGCGCAGAUAUCAGGAGGAACACCGGUGGCGAAGGCGGGUCUCUGGGCCGUAACUGACGCUGAGGAGCGAAAGCAUGGGGAGCGGACAGG
This 253-nucleotide ribosomal RNA is filed under the name uncultured bacterium. RNAcentral describes it as "partial 16S ribosomal RNA". It matches the Rfam family "Bacterial small subunit ribosomal RNA", at positions 524 to 776 of the family's 1533-position model. The record is from RNAcentral.